CUACGUGCCAGCAGCCGCGGUAAUACGUAGGGUGCGAGCGUUAAUCGGAAUUACUGGGCGUAAAGCGAGCGCAGACGGUUACUUAAGCAGGAUGUGAAAUCCCCGGGCUCAACCUGGGAACUGCGUUCUGAACUGGGUGACUAGAGUGUGUCAGAGGGAGGUAGAAUUCCACGUGUAGCAGUGAAAUGCGUAGAGAUGUGGAGGAAUACCGAUGGCGAAGGCAGCCUCCUGGGAUAACACUGACGUUCAUGCUCGAAAGCGUGGGUAGCAAACAGGAUUAGAUACCCUGGUAGUCCACGCCCUAAACGAUGUCGAUUAGCUGUUGGGCAACUUGAUUGCUUGGUAGCGAAGCUAACGCGUGAAAUUGACCGCCUGGGGAGUACGGUCGCAAGAUUAAAACUCAAAGGAAUUGACGGGGACCCGCACAAGCGGUGGAUGAUGUGGAUUAAUUCGAUGCAACGCGAAGAACCUUACCUGGUCUUGACAU
This 487-nucleotide ribosomal RNA is filed under the name uncultured bacterium. RNAcentral's name for it is "bacterial SSU rRNA". It matches the Rfam family "Bacterial small subunit ribosomal RNA", at positions 501 to 987 of the family's 1533-position model. The record is from RNAcentral.